CACACACACACUUUCUCACACACCCACGCACGUACACGCACACGCACACGCACACACACACACACACCCCUCCCUAACUUGGUGGACUGACGCAGCAGAUCAUCUCACUUUCCUCCGCCAUGGGCACGAGGUAGGCGGUGAUGCGGUUUCAGAGGUCAAAACAAUCCAGAGCUGCUGUGAUUGGUCCAAAAGCGAGAAUCCCCGCCUCCCAGCUGCGCGCUGAUUGGCUGACACUACACAUCAAUCUUGUGACAUCUGAUUCUGUGGAAUGGGAGUGUGAUGAGCGCUUGCGUCAGAGAUAACCUAACAGGAGGUUGUGAUUGAAUGUUGUACAGCCUGAGAGGAGAUUCCCUAUAGCAGCAGCAGCAGCAGCAGCAGUGUGGGUGGUGCUGAAUGCUCUGAAGAAAACAGCCUCUCUGAUUGGUGUAAAACGGGGCAGGAGCCCCACGGUGAAUGGUGAAGCCGUAUCUAAGGUGCUGAUGUAGGCUGUGCACGUCAUCGCUCGGGCUCAACGCACGUUGUUGCCAAAUUUAAAGCGCACCAGCAGCAGCAUGUGUGUGUUCAUGAUGUGAAGUCACUGCUCCACAAUGUCAGUGUAACUUUAAUGUAAAGUGAUGCUCA
Sebastes umbrosus (honeycomb rockfish) is the source of this 621-nucleotide long non-coding RNA. RefSeq lists it as uncharacterized. NCBI's taxonomy places the organism in Eukaryota, Metazoa, Chordata, Actinopteri, Perciformes, Sebastidae. The transcript has 3 exons. The record is from RefSeq and is a predicted model, not a curated record.